Molecule: ribosomal RNA, 209 nt
Filed under: uncultured prokaryote
Description: partial 16S ribosomal RNA
Rfam family: Bacterial small subunit ribosomal RNA
Source: RNAcentral
UACGUAGGGGGCAAGCGUUAUCCGGAUUUACUGGGCGUAAAGAGCGCGUAGGCGGUUCCGUAAGUUGGUUGUGAAAGUUCGAGGCUCAACCUCGAAACUGCGUCCAAUACUGCGGGGCUGGAGUGCAAGAGAGGCGAGCGGAAUUCCCGGUGUAGAGGUGAAAUUCGUAGAUAUCGGGAGGAACACCAGUGGCGCAGGCGGCUCGCUGG